UGGGGAAUUGUUCACAAUGGGCGCAAGCCUGAUGACGCAACGCCGCGUGGGGGAUGAAGGUCUUCGGAUUGUAAACCCCUGUCGAACGGGACGAAAGACUCGGGAGCUAAUCAUCUCGAGAGUGACGGUACCGUUAAAGGAAGCCACGGCUAACUCUGUGCCAGCAGCCGCGGUAAUACAGAGGUGGCAAGCGUUGUUCGGAAUUACUGGGCGCAAAGGGCGCGUAGGCGGCCAUCUAAGUCAGACGUGAAAUCCCCCGGCUUAACCUGGGAACUGCGUCUGAUACUGGACGGCUUGAGUAUGGGAGAGGGAUGUAGAAUUCCAGGUGUAGCGGUGAAAUGCGUAGAUAUCUGGAGGAAUACCGGUGGCGAAGGCGGCAUCCUGGACCAUUACUGACGCUGAGGCGCGAAAGCUAGGGGAGCAAACGGGAUUAGAUACCCCGGUAGUCCUAGCCCUAAACGAUGAAUGCUUGGUGUGGCGGGUAUCGAUCCCUGCCGUGCCGAAGCUAACGCAUUAAGCAUUCCGCCUGGGGAGUACGGUCGCAAGGCUGA
This 551-nucleotide ribosomal RNA is filed under the name uncultured Acidobacteriota bacterium. Its description in RNAcentral is "bacterial SSU rRNA". It matches the Rfam family "Bacterial small subunit ribosomal RNA", at positions 355 to 897 of the family's 1533-position model. Lineage: Bacteria; Pseudomonadati; Acidobacteriota. The record is from RNAcentral.